CAGCAGCCGCGGGAAUACGGAGGAUCCAAGCGUUAUCCGGAAUCAUUGGGUUUAAAGGGUCCGUAGGCGGUCUUGUAAGUCAGUGGUGAAAGCCCAUCGCUCAACGGUGGAACGGCCAUUGAUACUGCAGGACUUGAAUUAUUGGGAAGUAACUAGAAUAUGUAGUGUAGCGGUGAAAUGCUUAGAGAUUACAUGGAAUACCAAUUGCGAAGGCAGGUUACUACCAAUUGAUUGACGCUGAUGGACGAAAGCGUGGGUAGCGAACAGGAUUAGAUACCCCAGUAGUCCCUGUCCUUAUACA
Molecule: ribosomal RNA, 301 nt
Filed under: uncultured bacterium
Lineage: Bacteria
Description: partial 16S ribosomal RNA
Rfam family: Bacterial small subunit ribosomal RNA
Source: RNAcentral